AACGAACGCUGGUGGCGUGCUUAACACAUGCAAGUCGAACGAGAAAAUUUCCUUCGGGGAACUAGUAAAGUGGCGCAAGGGUGAGUAACACGUGAAUAAUCUGCCCUCGAGAUCGGGAUAACAUGGUGAAAACUAUGCUAAUACCGGAUAAGACCACAUUUCAAAAGAAAUGCGGGAAAAGGAGUCUCAACCUUCACUCGAGGAUGAGUUCGCGCAACAUUAGCUUGUUGGUGAGACAAAAAGCUCACCAAGGCUACGAUGUUUAGCCGGCCUGAGAGGGUGAUCGGCCACACUGGAACUGAGACACGGUCCAGACUCCUACGGGGAGGCAGCAGUGGGGAAUAUUGCGCAAUGGGCGAAAGCCUGACGCAGCAACGACCGUCGUGAGCGAUG
RNAcentral lists this ribosomal RNA (393 nucleotides) under uncultured Nitrospina sp. RNAcentral describes it as "bacterial SSU rRNA". It matches the Rfam family "Bacterial small subunit ribosomal RNA", at positions 29 to 410 of the family's 1533-position model. The record is from RNAcentral. Lineage: Bacteria; Pseudomonadati; Nitrospinota; Nitrospinia; Nitrospinales; Nitrospinaceae.